Molecule: unclassified non-coding RNA, 547 nt
Filed under: Hevea brasiliensis (rubber tree)
Lineage: Eukaryota; Viridiplantae; Streptophyta; Magnoliopsida; Malpighiales; Euphorbiaceae
Source: RNAcentral
UUUUUUUCCAUUAAUUAGUUUCAGAUUUAGCAAUAAUUCAAUAAGAUUGAAGUUUUUAAAAUCACAAAAAUGGUACACACCUCGUGCAUGCACAUGCACAUACAAACAGGCACACAGCCAUUCUAUUUUCAGAUCAGAACACAGAUAAAUCAUUUGUCACAUUUUGCAGUCCAUAAUUUCUAAAAACCUACUAAAAAAAAAGAGUUCCUUGUAAGUGCAUUCAUUUAUUCCAGAAUUAACAUGUGGAGAUGCAUACCAAACUAAUUUUCUGCAUACUUCUGUUUAUUCAAGCAAUUAAUGUGAUUGGAUAAUGGGUAUGCCAUUUUGAUAUGUAAGAAAUGCAACAUUAAUACUUGGUUGCUAUUUGUCCAUGUGUAUUCCUUUUUACUUGUUACACGCCAAAUAUUGAUAUUUUAGGCCUUCCCCAACCAAGAAGAUGAUAUAGUAAACAUAAAACGAAAACUUGAUCGCUUGUCCUCUGCUUUAUUUUCAAACAUUACAUUUCUAAUAUUGGUUUCUUUACAGUCCAACACGAUGAAGGUUCUAA